GACGAACGCUGGCGGCGUGCUUAACACAUGCAAGUCGAACGGAAAGGCCCUGCUUUUGUGGGGUGCUCGAGUGGCGAACGGGUGAGUAACACGUGAGUAACCUGCCCUUGACUUUGGGAUAACUUCAGGAAACUGGGGCUAAUACCGGAUAGGAGCUCCUGCUGCAUGGUGGGGGUUGGAAAGAUUCGGCGGUUGGGGAUGGACUCGCGGCUUAUCAGCUUGUUGGUGGGGUAGUGGCUUACGAAGGCUUUGACGGGUAGCCGGCCUGGGCGGGUGACCGGCCACAUUGCGACUGAGAUACGGCCCAGACUCCUACGGGAGGCAGCAGUGGGGAAUAUUGCACAAGGGGCGGAAGCCUGAUGCAGCAACGCCGCGUGCGGGAUGACGGCCUUCGGGUUGUAAACCGCUUUCGCCUGUGACGAAGCGUGAGUGACGGUAAUGGGUAAAGAAGCACCGGCUAACUACGUG
This 468-nucleotide ribosomal RNA is filed under the name uncultured bacterium. RNAcentral describes it as "partial 16S ribosomal RNA". It matches the Rfam family "Bacterial small subunit ribosomal RNA", at positions 28 to 507 of the family's 1533-position model. The record is from RNAcentral.